RNAcentral lists this ribosomal RNA (989 nucleotides) under Salmonella enterica. Its description in RNAcentral is "partial 23S ribosomal RNA". It matches the Rfam family "Bacterial large subunit ribosomal RNA", at positions 711 to 1614 of the family's 2925-position model. RNAcentral also lists the same sequence under 3 other names. Lineage: Bacteria; Pseudomonadati; Pseudomonadota; Gammaproteobacteria; Enterobacterales; Enterobacteriaceae. The record is from RNAcentral.
AGACCCGAAACCCGGUGAUCUAGCCAUGGGCAGGUUGAAGGUUGGGUAACACUAACUGGAGGACCGAACCGACUAAUGUUGAAAAAUUAGCGGAUGACCUGUGGCUGGGGGUGAAAGGCCAAUCAAACCGGGAGAUAGCUGGUUCUCCCCGAAAGCUAUUUAGGUAGCGCCUCGUGAAUUCAUCUCCGGGGGUAGAGCACUGUUUCGGCUAGGGGGCCAUCCCGGCUUACCAACCCGAUGCAAACUGCGAAUACCGGAGAAUGUUAUCACGGGAGACACACGGCGGGUGCUAACGUCCGUCGUGAAGAGGGAAACAACCCAGACCGCCAGCUAAGGUCCCAAAGUCAUGGUUAAGUGGGAAACGAUGUGGGAAGGCCCAGACAGCCAGGAUGUUGGCUUAGAAGCAGCCAUCAUUUAAAGAAAGCGUAAUAGCUCACUGGUCGAGUCGGCCUGCGCGGAAGAUGUAACGGGGCUAAACCAUGCACCGAAGCUGCGGCAGCGAACGUAUCACCCAAGACAACUUUACGGAGUUGACGAUUGACGGAGCGAAGCGACGUCAAAGCGUUCAUUAAAGUCGAGUUGGCUUAGGGAUACGUUCGUUGGGUAGGGGAGCGUUCUGUAAGCCUGUGAAGGUGUGUCGUGAGGCAUGCUGGAGGUAUCAGAAGUGCGAAUGCUGACAUAAGUAACGAUAAAGCGGGUGAAAAGCCCGCUCGCCGGAAGACCAAGGGUUCCUGUCCAACGUUAAUCGGGGCAGGGUGAGUCGACCCCUAAGGCGAGGCCGAAAGGCGUAGUCGAUGGGAAACGGGUUAAUAUUCCCGUACUUGGUGUUACUGCGAAGGGGGGACGGAGAAGGCUAUGUUGGCCGGGCGACGGUUGUCCCGGUUUAAGCGUGUAGGUGUGUGUUCCAGGUAAAUCCGGUUCACUUUAACACUGAGGCGUGAUGACGAGGCACUACGGUGCUGAAGCAACAAAUGCCCUGCUUCCAGGAA